Long non-coding RNA from Populus trichocarpa (black cottonwood), 679 nucleotides. RefSeq lists it as uncharacterized. The record is from RefSeq and is a predicted model, not a curated record. NCBI's taxonomy places the organism in Eukaryota, Viridiplantae, Streptophyta, Magnoliopsida, Malpighiales, Salicaceae. The transcript is spliced from 2 exons.
GCAAAUGACUGUGUUCUUAGUGGCCAACCAGUAUCAUCAGUUAAGAAACACAGUGCUCGAUGCAGCAUAAAGUGGCAUCCUGGGGCACCUUCAAUGUUUGGUUCCAUGAUCAUAAUUCACAAUCUUAAAUUUUGUUCUCUGGGAUGCUGUCUCCUUUCUGACAAUUCAUGAUCACUGUGAUAUUCAUAGCCUAUUAUCGAUUUUUCUACGGCUUCAUGGAAUUUUUUUUUUGUUACAAUUGCUGUUUCUUUGUUUGCAUCUGGUGUUCUAAUUCAUCGGUGGAGUCUUCCAAGUGCAGAGGGCAAGGUUUAGUUAACAUGUGAGUUAUUGUAUUGGGAUAUGUAUAUGUAAUAUGAUAUCACGAGUUAUGUAGGUUUUACAUUCUUGUAUUAUCUGUUUAUUGUUUAAAAAAUAGAAAUGAAAAAAAGAAGAAGAUGAUGUAUAUUUAUUGGAGACAACAAGUAAUUGAAGAGAAAAAAGAGAGAAGAGAAGAGAAGAAACGAAGGAAAAGAAAGAGGAAGCUAGAAAGAAAGACAGUAGGGAGAGAGGAAAAACUUGUCAGCAAGUUCUUUUCUUGUUCAGCCAUAAUUGUCUAACAUGUAAAAACGUUACAUAUAAAUAAUGUAAGUAAACCCUUGGUUCAGUGGCCAAACCAGGAUUUUUUAGAUGAAAAAACAAA